GCCAAGGUGGCCGAGCGGUCUAAGGCGCCAGACUCAAGUUCUGGUAUCGAAAGAUGCUUGGGUUCGAAUCCCAACCUUGGCA
This 82-nucleotide transfer RNA is filed under the name Fusarium oxysporum Fo47. RNAcentral's name for it is "tRNA-Leu (CAA) (tRNA-Leu-CAA-1-1)". It matches the Rfam family "tRNA". Rfam says of the family: Transfer RNA (tRNA) molecules are approximately 80 nucleotides in length. Their secondary structure includes four short double-helical elements and three loops (D, anti-codon, and T loops). The record is from RNAcentral. Lineage: Eukaryota; Fungi; Ascomycota; Sordariomycetes; Hypocreales; Nectriaceae. RNAcentral also lists the same sequence under 9 other names.